This 76-nucleotide transfer RNA is filed under the name Promethearchaeota archaeon. Its description in RNAcentral is "tRNA-Arg". It matches the Rfam family "tRNA". Rfam says of the family: Transfer RNA (tRNA) molecules are approximately 80 nucleotides in length. Their secondary structure includes four short double-helical elements and three loops (D, anti-codon, and T loops). RNAcentral also lists the same sequence under 1 other name. Lineage: Archaea; Promethearchaeati; Promethearchaeota. The record is from RNAcentral.
GGACCCAUCGCCUAGCGGAUAUGGCGCCGGCCUCCUAAGCCGGUUGUCAUGAGUUCGAGUCUCAUUGGGUCCGCCA